Molecule: long non-coding RNA, 334 nt
Filed under: Androctonus crassicauda
Lineage: Eukaryota; Metazoa; Arthropoda; Arachnida; Scorpiones; Buthidae
Source: RNAcentral
GUUUUAUUCAUUUUUUAUGAUAUUUGACACAGGGAACUAGUUGGAAGAUUGCAAUAACUUGGCAUAUGAAUCAUUGUGAUAGCAACUGUAGGAAUGGAAAUAGGAGGGUUCAGGGAGGAUUUUAUCUCAAAAAAAGAUGGAUGUUUUGCAUUUUCCAAAAAUGUGAGACCAUAUUCUUCAAGAGCAUUAAAAAUUACACAUAAAAGGUUCUCUCCAUGCACUUCGAUAGGAUGCACCAUUUCCCGAGAUAAUCGACUAAAUGGGUUUCAGAAUUGCCUUACCUGCUACUUCUCUGCACAACUAAUUGCCUUACAAAGAAGCUGAUAUGCGACAA